GACGAACGCUGGCGGCGUGCUUAACACAUGCAAGUCGAACGGACAGGCCCUGCUUUUGUGGGGUGCUCGAGUGGCGAACGGGUGAGUAACACGUGAGUAACCUGCCCUUGACUUUGGGAUAACUUCAGGAAACUGGGGCUAAUACCGGAUAGGAGCUCCUGCUGCAUGGUGGGGGUUGGAAAGUUUCGGCGGUUGGGGAUGGACUCGCGGCUUAUCAGCUUGUUGGUGGGGUAGUGGCUUACCAAGGCUUUGACGGGUAGCCGGCCUGAGAGGGUGACCGGCCACAUGGGGACUGAGGUACGGCCCAGACGCCUACGGGAGGCAGCAGUGGGGAAUAUUGCACAAUGGGCGGAAGCCUGAUGCAGCAACGCCGCGUGCGGGAUGACGGCCUUCGGGGUGUAAACCGCUUUCGCCUGUGACGAAGCGUGAGUGACGGUAAUGGGUAAAGAAGCACCGGCUAACUACGUG
This 468-nucleotide ribosomal RNA is filed under the name uncultured bacterium. RNAcentral describes it as "partial 16S ribosomal RNA". It matches the Rfam family "Bacterial small subunit ribosomal RNA", at positions 28 to 507 of the family's 1533-position model. The record is from RNAcentral.